Long non-coding RNA from Peromyscus eremicus (cactus mouse), 1490 nucleotides. RefSeq lists it as uncharacterized. The record is from RefSeq and is a predicted model, not a curated record. The transcript is spliced from 3 exons. NCBI's taxonomy places the organism in Eukaryota, Metazoa, Chordata, Mammalia, Rodentia, Cricetidae.
UCGUGGUACUUGAUCAAAGCAAUAGAAACCCUAACGAAGACAGCAAGAGUCACUCUGCAAAGCAGGGGCUGCUGCUACAAGAGACCAAGAUGGAGCACUGAAUGAUCAGGCUAGACUCGCUGCUUGAGAAGCGGCGAGGGACACAGGAGGAGGAGGCUGAGACCCUUUCUUAGGAGUCCAGUUUUGGAGGGGACGGAAUGCGUGUGCACACAUCUGCUGCCUGAAGAAACUGGCUGAUAGACAUGCACAGACACACACAGUUCUGCCAGGUGCAGGUCCUUGCCCAGCCCUAGGCAGACAACACUACUACUCUUUCAACGGAGAGGCCUGGAAGAAGAAGAAUCUCUUGCUGAGAGUCACAUAAGACAAAAGUAGUCACCCUAGACUACUUAUUCACUUAUCACGUUCUACAGGUUUGGGGGAGCAGAUUUCUUUUCAUUUCCUUUGCCCAAAACCCUGCACAUACCAAAUUCUUAAAUGGCCAACACAAGAGCUAAAAGGCUCCUUGGAGAUGAAAUGAGCUGUGAGGAAAAGAAGGUACAGAGAGGUUCAGUGAUUGGGCAAGACAGCAACAAAAUGCAAGCUGACCAGGGAGCAAAUGGCCUGCUGGGCCAAGAGCUCAGGUCCUGGAGGGCAACAGACUGGGCCAAGCACACUGCCUCAAAUCUCAGCUUCGCCACAUUCUAGCAAGUUGUCUAACUUCCGUGGGCUGUUCCUAGUUCUGAAAGAUGAGAACAGCACAUCUCUCCUCAGGCUGUCCUGAAGAGUAAGAGAGGGAAUCCACAUUCCAAUGCUCAGAGCAGUGUCUGACACACAAGCAUGGAGGGACACUGGCCAUCUAUCCCAUCAUCGGUGGAAGGGUAAGGCAUUGCUCGUGCCCCGUGUGCGUGGGGUGUGGCCCCGCCCCCUCACCACAGUGACGGCAUCAUUGAGCAGGGACUCCCCGAAGACGAGGAUGUGGAGCAGUUCGUUGAUGUGGAUCUCCUCGAAGACAGCCAGCACGGCCACGGGGUCCACAGCUGAGAUGAUGCUGCCGAAGAGCAGGGUGUCCAGCAGGCCAAUGUUGUUGAUCUGCUCCCCGCCCACCAGGCACACGGCGUACAGGAGGCCACCCAGGAAGAAAGCGUUCCAUAGCGUGCCCACCACAGCAAAGAUCAGGAUGGUGCCCAGGUUCUCCGUGAACUGCCGCAGUGGCAGGAAGUAGCCGGCAUCCAGGAUGAUGGGCGGCAGCAGGAAGAGGAAGAAGACGUCUGACUGCAGGAAGGGGGGCGUCUCGCCAACACCCUUGAUGAGGCCCCCCACCAGCAGCCCCACCACGAUCAGCAGACAGCUCUCUGGGACGAUGCUCGAGAUGGUGGGGAUCACAUGGAAACCUGUGAAGGGCGAGAGAACGGGAGGCCGUGGGCUUUUCAGGGGAGCCAGAAGAACAGGAGGUUGGGGACAGGACUGGGGACCAGGAGAGCAUCUGGCGAGAGGUGCACAAGCUUGGU